Molecule: long non-coding RNA, 1518 nt
Organism: Harpia harpyja (harpy eagle)
Lineage: Eukaryota; Metazoa; Chordata; Aves; Accipitriformes; Accipitridae
Exons: 2
Source: RefSeq, a predicted model, not a curated record
UGGUCUUCAUGGACAGGGACAUCACCGGCGAAGCGCUGAAAUGCCCCACUAGUGGAGACCGGGCUGAGCCCACACGGAGAUCAAGCGGCUCAGGACGGGUGGGAGAUGCCUUUUUUGGAUGCCAGCGUCCAGCCCCACCAGUAAUAAGGACACGGCUCCUGUCUCCCCAUCUCUCUCCUCAGGGUGUUGGGUCCCACCAGCCCUCAUGCAGGUAAGGACCUUCAGUGACCUCUGAGACCACAACGGGCACCCGGGGCUGCUCCUGCCAGGCUGGUUUCAGGGUGGAGGGACAAGGAGAAGUGGCCGGGGACGGCUUCACAGGUGGAGAAGCAUCCAGGGAGCCAGCGGGACACUUUUGGCUGGUCUUGGACCUGGUGAGCUUCCACAGAGGACAAGGAGGACGAGGCGGGUGAGGUCUGCAGCGUACCAGAUCCUGCACAGUCGUGGAACAAGUCAUGACCCCCCUUCUUUGGGCUCGGGCACUACGGGGUGCCCCAUUAGCUGCCCUCACCCUCAGUCUCUCCGAACUCAGGGUUACUAGGACACUGGCCUGGUGACCUGUGAGCAUCCCUGGAUGAUGCUACACCUUUACGAGCAUUUAAUUAAUUACACCUCCCACUAGCACUACCUGCCUUGCUUCACUUCUCUAGCUCAAAACCUCACCUGAGGAUGAGAAGGGCUGUGGCCGUCUGUCCGGGACCACCAGGCACCCACGGCCACCCGAGUCUGCACCAUCCUGCUGACUGCGGGGCUUUCACAACAACCUCAGCCAAACAGCGUUAUAUUCUGCUGAGGAAAAGUCUGCGUUUUCUGCCUAGCUCUCUAUUAAAGCAGUCUGGAAAUGAGGACUGAAUGGUCCCGGCGUGGCACGAGCAUGAUGCAGAAAGUAAGUCCCUUUGCCAGAGCAUCCCUCGGCUCUCCUACCUGGGGAUGACGGAGGCGGGGAGGUCUCCAGGAGGGAUAUAGAUGCAGAUGUUUAAUAACACCGGGACACGGGCAGGGUCGUUAGCGUUCACGGCUAUCAGUGCUGUUUAACCACGCACACAUUUAUUUUCCUUGGCUCUGACAGAGAAAUGUGCUCCUCGAGGACUUUUCAUUAAGCAAAAAAUUUAUGAGAGAGGAUGAAAAUUGUGUUUUACUGUCUGAGGUCUCGGUCAGUGCUGUUUCUUCAGACGUUUUAGUAAUUCAUCUUGGCAAGGACUGAGAAAAUUUCUCCAGUGAAACAAAAAAUUUAACUUCCACAUUUGGAGUUGGUUGCAUCAGCCGGUUCCGUCCCCAGCAUGGACCGAUGCCCGGAGUAAUGACCUGAUCCCCUGGGGAUUCAAAACAAAAGCGAAACACCUCACAAUUUAUGUCCAGUGAAAAAUAACGUGUACAUGAUGUAAAGUGUUAUUGGGAUUUGAUGCUAAUUUUAGUGGUCACCUUGGCUGCAUUUGAGGAAGUUGCCGGUGCUGCCAAGAGCAAAUUUACCUGAUGAUGAAUGAGGAAUCAGAGCAUAAAAUAAAUAAAUAUCAGCAA